Molecule: RNA transcript, 5915 nt
Organism: Juglans microcarpa x Juglans regia
Lineage: Eukaryota; Viridiplantae; Streptophyta; Magnoliopsida; Fagales; Juglandaceae
Exons: 10
Source: RefSeq, a predicted model, not a curated record
UCUUUUAGAAUAAAACCUAGGUACAGGGUACUAUUCUGCCUCGUCUGUCACUGCUUCUUGUGCUCUUUAGAGAUCUUAGGGUUUAGGGUUUUUGUCUCUUACUAUUACGUCAUUCAAUGGGGCAUCUCAUCAACAAAUUUAUACCAGCACCAUAAAAAACCCAGUAACUCUCUCUCUGUCCCCGUUUUCUUGCCGAGAAGCUUUAGGAAAGAAAAUUUACAGAAAACAACAUUUCGAAACAUUACGCUUCUUUAUCGCCCUAAAUAUGUUGUUAAUAUAUUAUUGUGGCUUUUAGACUUGUUUAUUUGUUUGAAAUUGUUUCCCAAAGUCGCGAACUUGUAGAAAUGGCGGCGGAUUUGGCAGGAAAGCUCGAGGCGGAGAAUCCCUGCUGUAAAGCGUGGAGGGAGAAAUACUCGAAUCUUGAAAAGAAGAGGUAUGCGCUGCGGCAAGCGGUGAACAUCCUUACACCACAAAUCGAUGCAUUUCAAUCUGAGAAUGCCAAUCUCAAGAAAGCAUUUGAGGAGGAGCAAGCACGAGCAGACAAUGAGAAAGAGGGGCGGGUAAAAGAAUCUAUAGCUAGAGUAUCUUUGGAGAAUGAAAUCACUGUUUUGAAAUCUGAGAUCUCUCAAGUAAAGCAGAAAGCAAGCUUAAAUACUGUAGAUAGAGAUGAAAAAGUGAGGCUUCUUCAAGAUUGCAUUUCUGAAAGGGAAAAAGAAAUCAAUCGGCUGGAGGAUCUUCUUGAGAAAGAGAAAAAAAGGGCAGAUACCGAAAGGAAGAAUGCUGAGGGGGAUAAAAAGAAAGCUGCAGAAAUGUUCAAAUCUUUAAAAGCCGAGAAGGAUGAAGAAAGAAGGAUUGCCAGAACUGGAGGAGAGAAGGCUGAGCAGUACAGGCUUCAGCUGGAGAUUUUGAAGAAAGAGGCUGAUGAAGCAAAGUCAAAGUUAGCCGCUGAAACAAUGAAGUUUGAACAAGCAAACAAAAGACUUGGAGAAGAAAGAAAGAAGGCUCUCAAAGAGAGAAAACGUGCAGAUUUGGAGAUGGCCAAAGCAGAGGAGCAAAGAAAGCUUGCAGAAGCUAAUGGGAAGAAGGCUGUUGAAGAGAAAUGUCGUGCUGAUAACUUGUAUCGGCAGUUGGAAGAGAAUAGACAAAAGGUAGAGGAGUUACAGGGGAUACAUGAGUUUCAAAAUUUGGCUUUUCUUGGUGGCCGGGCUGAUAAGAAGUUGAAUCCCAAAUCUGUUAAAACGAAGAACAGGCUUCAGUGCGAGAUAUUAAACAGAAAAGUGGAUGAACACAAAUCGGUUUUGGAGCUCUUGAAAGAGUCAAACAAAAUGUUUGAGGUUGAAAACCAGAAGGCAAUUAAGGAGAAAAAACUUGCAGAUUCAGAGAUGGCAAAAGCAGAAGAGCAGAAAAAUCUUGCAGAAGUGAAUUGGAAAAAGGCCAUGCAAGAAAAAUGUCGUGCUGAUCAGUUGUCUCAACAGUUACAAGAAAACAGAAAAACUAUUGAGGAAUUGCAGAAGAAGAUACAUGAACUUCAGCUCUCUAGAAAGUUGGUUGAGAGAUCUACUGUAGCACCAGUUAAAACUGUCACUUCUGAAAAUGCAAAUGUGAAGCUUUUGAAAAAAGAACUGAAGUUUGAGAAAAAGCAAGCAAAGCAUACCAAAAGAGUGGCCAAGUUGGAAAAAAGUCAUAACCGCGUCCUUCAACACGAACUUGGUCACUUGAAGCUGGAGUUUGAUCAAUUAGCAAAUCGCUUGGAUAUACUGAAUAAGUCAUUAUCACCUAGUGCCGAAGGUAUAGAUGACCCAAAAAAGAAUGUGUCGAUUGCAUACAUGCAAAGGUUAAACAUGAUGAAGAAACUCUGCAGUUUGGAACCAACUCGGGCACACCUUCAAAGUGAAAAUGAACUUGUGAGACCUAGUUGCAUGGAUAUGGAUGUCUCAUAUUCUCUCAGGCAAAGCCUCCAACAUCCUGCACAAUUGCUACCUAUAUCUGGAGGAAAUUUUGAUGAGUCCAUUUCAGGUAUUAAUUCUAAAUUGGAGUCUCCGCUUGGAUGCUCUUACUGGAAAAUGUUACAGACUUCUGCAAUAAAUUCUAGUAUGGCAUCUUUUUCUGAUGGACAGUUGAUGGGCUCACAGGAGAAGGGUGCUUUUUCUGGUACUACAUCCACAAAAUUAGUUGAUGAGAACUUGAAUGCACAACCAACAAUAUCCAACUUGUCUGGCGAAGAUACUAAAUUAAGGUGCUGUGAAAAAUCUGCAGUGGUGGGUGAAAAUAAUGUCAAAAUUGCUGAUAGCAAUGAUGUUGGCAGAGGUGAUGAUCGUAGUAGGAAGAGAAAGUGGUUAUUUGAUUCUGCUGAGCCCAUUGAAUAUUUGUAUUCCAAGGGUAAGAAGUUGUGUGUGCAGAUAGAAGAGAAUCUAUCUUUGUUGCAUGGUAUGUUAGACAGACGAAUAGGCAAUCCCUCUGAAGAAGUAAGAUGUCUGGCUCCUAAUCUGCAAUGCAUUCCACAUGGUAAGCUUGAUGGGUUGCACAAAAAGAGCAAGGUAUCUCCUGAAGAGGUACAUGAGAAGCAUUUUUGUGUCAGUGACGAGCAAAAGAAGACAGAAAAAUCUGGAACUCAAGUCUUGGAGGAUUCAAGUGAUCUUGAAAUGAUGGCGAGUUUUGAGGAUGUAGCUAAUGGUGACUACAUGAAACUGCUGGACUUGGAUGAUGCUGCUGACGAGCAACGUUACAGGAUGGCGACCGAAAGGCCUGUGUCACCAAGUCUUCCUAUUAUUGACUUUAAUAACAGGCAAAUAUUUGAUGCGGAUAGUUCUGAAGCUUUAGUAGUGGAAUGGGUCUAUAAAGAGGUAUCGACUGAUGAAGAAAAUAUGUUGCCUAAGCACAGCUUUGAUGUAAUUGAUAUUGAAAUUGAGUCCAAUAAGCUAAAACAUACUGCUGUAGGAACUUCCUGUAAUCUGUCACUGCGUAAGAAUGUAGACCCUGUUGAUUCCGUUGCUGUCAUUGGAAAUGGUUUCUGGACUGUAGAGGCAGGAAAUGCUAGUCCUCAGCAGGUCCAGAACUCAGGUCUGGUUGUGGGCAUUAGUAAUUUGCCUAGAUCAAGAGACGAGGAAGUUAAUUUUCCAUUUGAAAGUGAAUUUGGAUCUGCACGUGACACUAUGCCAAAAUACUGUGUCGUGUCUCCUAACAUGAGAGAUCGUAACAUCAUUUCUAGGAUAUUUAAAACUACCAAAACUUGUAUAUCUCGGUGCUGUUUGCUUUCUCAAACGGAGUGGGUGGUGCCAAAGAUUCUGCUUGCUCUUGUGAUGGAAGAAAAUCUUUUACUUGUGGAAAAGGUCUGUGUGUUUUUUACAUUGGUGCUGCUCAAUUUGUCCACUGCUGCUCCAAGGAAACUUGGGAACUGUUUGAAUACGGAUUCCAUCCUCUGGUUGGAUUCUUUCUCUGGGCACAUACGUGCAGUGAUGUCUGAUGUGGAGACUAGAAGCAUGCUUGCAGAUUUUGAUUUUUUGGAUGAACUUCUUAGUCUCAUUGAGGAAUUCCUUAUAGACGGAAGAGUUCUGGUGUACACUAUUAUAUCGUCCGAGACAUUUAUCGAAUGUGAUACAAGAAUUAACUUCCUCUUGGAUGGUGUGACUAUUAGUUUGUCAUAUGAAGUUUCUUCUGCUGAUCAUUUGGUGGCUGGGAGCAUUAUAUUAGCAUCAAUAUGUGCAGCAAUAGACCAGAUUGGUUUUAUAUGUGAGGCAUCCUACAACAUCUUUCGGAGGCAUGCUUGUGAUUCUUCAUUGGUGCUUAGUAUUCUUCAUGUUUUUGCUUAUCUGUGUGGAGAAAAGCUUUUCAGCAUCACGAAUUAUGGUUUGAUGGUGACUGUCUUCAAAUCAAUAGUGAUGUUACUUGAGGGAGUAAAUUCUUCAGAUCUUGCUGCUUCUCAUUCUUUAUCUGUAAGCGAGGAUCAAUUUCUUUUCCAUCCAUGCACCAAAUGCCCAUUUUCGAAGGAUGCUGUUUCUAUAGAUACUGUAACAUCAUUGCUCUUGAAAUUCAUCUGGAAUAAUACUGGGUUGGAAACCACAAACUAUGACGUGAUUAAAUCCUUUGAUAUGUUGAAUUCUGAAGUUCUUUAUGACAGUUUUAAAUCUGGAGAAAGUUCAAGCCAUGAAGGGUUUUAUUGUGCCACUGAUAGGAAUUUUGAUGCCUCCUGUUGCUUGGAAAAGUAUGAGAUGCCCACUACUCAAUCACGUUCCAUUUCUAGUAUGCGUCUUUGUCACCUUACUGAUGUUCUAUCGUUGGUGGAGCUGGUUGCAUGCAACACGAGAUGGGACUGGACAAGCAUCAAAAUGAUCCCUCAACUGUUGAAAAUUUUGGAGUUGUGUGUGUUGGAGGACUUUGCUGCUGCUAUUGUUGUUCUCCUUGGACAACUUGGGAGGCUUGGAGUUGAUGCUGGUGGAUAUGAAGAUAAAGGAGUUGAAAAUUUGAGAUGUAAUUUGUAUACUUUUCUGAAUCGUUAUACCAUCUUGAAAGCAGGUCUACACCUUCAAAUAGCCACUGUCACUGCUUUGCUUGGGCUUCUUCCUGAUGAUAUUGAUACACUCAUUCAGAGUAAUGUGAAGAUUCAGGUAACUGCAAGUCAGUCUCUUGUUGCUGAUUCUAUGAGGAAGUGGUUUUCUUUGCUGAGCAAGGAGCAACAGGACUUGUCAGUACGGCUUUUACAAACAGCUGGUGCAAAACAAAAAUAGGAACAGAGGAUCUCUACAGAGUUGAGACUGGGUAUUACUGCUUGGGUAUUCUUACCGGAGUUUGAAGUGGGAAGUUGUGCAAGUUCUUUUAUUCAACUGGAAUUGAAGUAAGAAAUUUUAUCAUUCACCAUUGAGAGCUAGUGUAUAACCAGAAGAUGAAGAUUCUGAUACGGAUUUUGCAAUGGCAUUAUUUACUUGUUUGCUCAUUUGGUGGAGAAGUUUUUGAUCUUUUAGCCACUGUCUACAGUUGCAUUGUUUUGAUGGCAUUGAGAGCUAGCAUAUACGAAGAUUCUGGGACAGAUUAUGCGAGGGCAUAAUUAUUGUUUGCUCAUUUGCUGGAGAAAGUUUAGGCAUUAUGUCUCAACUUACCUGUUUCCCAAUUUGCUUUUACUGUGAAGAUCUUUACUGCAAGCAUUACGGGUUCAUGUGGCAGUGUCUUAUGACUUUUAAGGAUUUUCUGGUUGUCGCUAUCUGUUUUAAAUCAUUUGUGGACAAGUUUUUGGUUCUGGAAAACACUUGCUUCUUCCACCGUUCUUAUGUUGCAUUGAGGGUUCGCCUGAUCUCCUCGAAUAAGGGUAACUUCUUCCUUGAGCAUUUUUUUCUUUCUUCUAUUUCUUCCAAUUGCUUAUAAAUUUCCUGACCUAUGAUGAUUAAGCCUGUUGAAUUGUUGAUCCCUUCCUAGGAUUGGUCUUCAGAAGUAUCAGAAGCUAAAAAUUGACAUCUAAUCAUGUCAUCUAAUUAUCUUUGAACUGUAGCUUUUCACUGAGGUGAUGCACACAUCCACCAAGAUAUUUGGAGGCUUAAUGGAAACUUUGUUUUUUUUUCCCCUUCCACCUCAAAGGUCUUGUAACCCAGCAUGGCAAGAAAUAGUGGCUCUAUUGUUUUUUCAUUUAUAUUCUUUCUCAAAUUGGCACAAGUUACAUUGAAAAGGUCAAAGGGUUACAUAGAGGUCUAAAAUAAGAUGGUAAAUAGUGAAGUGAGAGUAUGCUUAUAUCGGAGCUAGAAGAAGAAAUAUUUAGCAAUCUCAAAUUGUUGAUCAAGGGUUUAUAGAACCGAUCCUGAUUAAUUAGAAAAAUAUUUAGUUGAAUUUUGUUGAAGGGAUGAAUUCAAAAGCCUGGGUUCAAACUUGGGCUAGUUGACAGCCUGGAAUAUUUGUAUUUUGAUUUUCUAUUAGAAACUUGGGUUCAUUCA